This 407-nucleotide ribosomal RNA is filed under the name uncultured bacterium. RNAcentral's name for it is "partial 16S ribosomal RNA". It matches the Rfam family "Bacterial small subunit ribosomal RNA", at positions 28 to 526 of the family's 1533-position model. The record is from RNAcentral.
GACGAACGCUGGCGGCGUGCCUAAUACAUGCAAGUAGGACGCAGUUGCGCACGGGUGCUUAACGCGUAUGUAACUGCCUCUUAGCGGGGGCUAACUAUUGUAAACGAUCGCUCAUACCGCAUACUAGUAGAUGGACCUGCGUUGUAUUAGCUAGUAGGUAGGGUAAUGGCCUACCUAGGCGACGAUACAUUGCCGACCGGGGAGGGGGAUCGGCCAAACUGGGACUGAGAAAAGGCACAGACGCCUAAGGGAGGCAGCAGGAGGGAAUCUUCGGCAAUGGGGGGAACGCUGACCGAGCAAAGCCGCGUGAGUGAAGAAGGUUUUCGGAGCGUAAAGCUAUGUUGUUAAGGAAGCGGUACUUAACCAGAAAGGGACGGCUAACUACGUGCCAGCAGCCGCGGUAAUUC